GAUGAACGCUGGCGGCGUGCCUAAUACAUGCAAGUCGAGCGAACGGACGAGAAGCUUGCUUCUCUGAUGUUAGCGGCGGACGUGUGAGUAACACGUGGAUAACCUACCUAUAAGACUGGGAUAACUUCGGGAAACCGUAGCUAAUACCGGAUAAUAUUUUGAACCGCGUGGUUCAAAAGUGAAAUACGGUGGUGCUGUAACUUAUAGAUGCAUCCCCGCUGCAUGAGCUAGUUGGUAAGCUUACGGCUUACCAAGGCAAGGAUGCAUAGCCGAAGGGAGAGGGGGAUCGCCGACCUGGGAACUGAGACACGGUCCAGAGUCCUACGGGAGGCACCAGUAGCGAAUCGGACGCAGUGGGCGAAAGCCUGGCAGAGCAACGGCAAGCGAGAGAUGACGGUGCUCGGAGCGGAAAACUCUGUUAUGAGUGAAGAACAUAUGUGUAAGUAAAUGUGCAGAGCGUGACGGUAACUAGUAAGAAAGCCACGGCUAACUACGUG
RNAcentral lists this ribosomal RNA (497 nucleotides) under uncultured bacterium. Its description in RNAcentral is "partial 16S ribosomal RNA". It matches the Rfam family "Bacterial small subunit ribosomal RNA", at positions 28 to 507 of the family's 1533-position model. The record is from RNAcentral.